CUGUUAUGGCUAGGGGGUCAUCGCGACUUACCAAACCAUUGCAAACUCCGAAUACCGAGACGGACUGUAUGGGAGACACACGGCGGGUGCUAACGUCCGUCGUGAAAAGGGAAACAACCCAGACCCACAGCUAAGGUCCCAAAUUCACUGCUAAGUGGAAAACGAUGUGGAAAGGCAUAGACAGCCAGGAGGUUGGCUUAGAAGCAGCCACCCUUUAAAGAAAGCGUAAUAGCUCACUGGUCGA
RNAcentral lists this ribosomal RNA (244 nucleotides) under Xanthomonas euvesicatoria. Its description in RNAcentral is "partial 23S ribosomal RNA". It matches the Rfam family "Bacterial large subunit ribosomal RNA", at positions 910 to 1152 of the family's 2925-position model. Lineage: Bacteria; Pseudomonadati; Pseudomonadota; Gammaproteobacteria; Lysobacterales; Lysobacteraceae. The record is from RNAcentral.